RNAcentral lists this ribosomal RNA (363 nucleotides) under uncultured bacterium. RNAcentral describes it as "partial 16S ribosomal RNA". It matches the Rfam family "Bacterial small subunit ribosomal RNA", at positions 355 to 730 of the family's 1533-position model. The record is from RNAcentral.
UGGGGAAUAUUGCACAAUGGGCGAAAGCCUGAUGCAGCGACGCCGCGUGAGGGAUGACGGCCUUCGGGUUGUAAACCUCUUUCAGCAGGGAAGAAGCGAAAGUGACGGUACCUGCAGAAGAAGCGCCGGCUAACUACGUGCCAGCAGCCGCGGUAAUACGUAGGGCGCAAGCGUUGUCCGGAAUUAUUGGGCGUAAAGAGCUCGUAGGCGGUUAGUCGCGUCUGCUGUGAAAACUCGAGGCUCAACCUCGGGCUUGCAGUGGGUACGGGCUGACUAGAGUGCGGUAGGGGUGACUGGAAUUCCUGGUGUAGCGGUGGAAUGCGCAGAUAUCAGGAGGAACACCGAUGGCGAAGGCAGGUCGAC